RNAcentral lists this ribosomal RNA (452 nucleotides) under Parvimonas micra. RNAcentral's name for it is "bacterial SSU rRNA". It matches the Rfam family "Bacterial small subunit ribosomal RNA", at positions 28 to 463 of the family's 1533-position model. Lineage: Bacteria; Bacillati; Bacillota; Tissierellia; Tissierellales; Peptoniphilaceae. The record is from RNAcentral.
GACGAACGCUGGCGGCGUGCUUAACACAUGCAAGUCGAACGUGAUUUUUAUGGAAAUUCUUUCGGGAAUGGAAAUGAAAUGAAAGUGGCGAACGGGUGAGUAACACGUGAGCAACCUACCUUACACAGGGGGAUAGCCGUUGGAAACGACGAUUAAUACCGCAUGAGACCACAGAAUCGCAUGAUAUAGGGGUCAAAGAUUUAUCGGUGUAAGAAGGGCUCGCGUCUGAUUAGCUAGUUGGAAGGGUAAAGGCCUACCAAGGCGACGAUCAGUAGCCGGUCUGAGAGGAUGAACGGCCACAUUGGAACUGAGACACGGUCCAAACUCCUACGGGAGGCAGCAGUGGGGAAUAUUGCACAAUGGGGGGAACCCUGAUGCAGCGACGCCGCGUGAGCGAAGAAGGUUUUCGAAUCGUAAAGCUCUGUCCUAUGAGAAGAUAAUGACGUAUCAUA